AGCAGCCGCGGUAAUUCCAGCUCCAAUAGCGUAUAUUAAAGUUGUUGCAGUUAAAAAGCUUGUAGUUGAAUUUCGGGAUUGGCGCAUCGGUCGUGCCUCACGGGGUAUGAACUGGUGCAGUCAAUUUCUCACCUUCUGGAGAACCGCGAUGUCCUUAAUUGGAUGCCGCGGGGAACCAGGACCUUUACUUUGAAAAAAUUAGAGUGUUUAAAGCAGGCAUUUUUGCUUGAAUACAUUAGCAUGGAAUAAUAAAAUAGGACGGCAUGGUUCUAUUUUGUUGGUUUCUAGGACCACCGUAAUGAUUAAUAGGGAUAGUUGGGGGCAUUAGUAUUCAAUUGUCAGAGGUGAAAUUCUUUGGAUUCAUUGAAGACUAACUACUGCGAAAGCAUUUGCCAAGGAUGUUUUCAUAAUUCAAAGAACAAGUUNGGGGAUCGAANCGAUCAGAUACCGUCGUAGUCUUAACCAUAAACUAUGCCGACUAGGAAUCAGACGAUGUUAAUUUUUUAAUGACUCGUUUGG
Molecule: ribosomal RNA, 519 nt
Filed under: uncultured Entrophospora
Lineage: Eukaryota; Fungi; Glomeromycota; Glomeromycetes; Entrophosporales; Entrophosporaceae
Description: SSU rRNA
Rfam family: Eukaryotic small subunit ribosomal RNA
Source: RNAcentral